GGCACAAGCGGUGGAGUAUGUGGUUUAAUUCGAUGCAACGCGAAGAACCUUACCUGGUCUUGACAUCCCGGAGACCCUUAGGAAACUAGGGGGUGCUUCCAUCUGGAAGAAUCUGGAGACAGGUGCUGCAUGGCUGUCGUCAGCUCGUGUCGUGAGAUGUUGGGUUAAGUCCCGCAACGAGCGCAACCCUUGCCUUUAGUUGCCAGCAGUUCGGCUGGGCACUCUAAAGGGACUGCCGGUGUUAAACCGGAGGAAGGUGGGGAUGACGUCAAGUCCUCAUGGCCUUUAUGACCAGGGCUACACACGUACUACAAUGGCCGAUACAAAGGGCAGCGACACUGCGAGGUGAAGCCAAUCCCGUAAAAUCGGUCUCAGUCCGGAUUGGAGUCUGCAACUCGACUCCAUGAAGUUGGAAUCGCUAGUAAUCGUGGAUCAGCAUGCCACGGUGAAUACGUUCCCGGGCCUU
Molecule: ribosomal RNA, 466 nt
Filed under: uncultured Desulfobulbus sp.
Lineage: Bacteria; Pseudomonadati; Thermodesulfobacteriota; Desulfobulbia; Desulfobulbales; Desulfobulbaceae
Description: bacterial SSU rRNA
Rfam family: Bacterial small subunit ribosomal RNA
Source: RNAcentral